CCCAGUGCUUUUGUGAUGCGCUCUCGACGAGUCGAGUUGUUUGGGAUUGCAGCUCAAAAUGGGAGGUAAAUUCCUUCUAAAGCUAAAUAUUGGCGAGAGACCGAUAGCGAACAAGUACCGUGAGGGAAAGAUGAAAAGCACUUUGGAAAGAGAGUUAAACAGUACGUGAAAUUGUUAAAAGGGAAACGCUUGAAGUCAGUCACGUUUGCUUGGACUCAGCCUUACUUCGGUUUGGUGCAUUUCCUUGUAGAGGGGCCAGCGUCCAUGUUGUUUGCCGGAGAAGGGGUGAGAGAAUGUGGCUCCUUUGGGAGUGUUAUAGCUUUCGCUCGUAUGCGGGGAACGAUAUGGAGUGGUACAGCACACUUCGGUGGUGCUUGUGCUGGCAUAAUGGCUUUAAACGACCCGUCUUGAAACACGGACCAAGGAGUCUAACAUGUCUGCGAGUGUUUGGGUGGAAAACCCGGGCGCGUAAUGAAAGUGAUGGCUGGGAACCCCUUCGGGGAGGCACCGGCGCCCCGAGCUGACCUUCUGUGACGCAUCGGAGGCAGAGCAUAUAUGUUGGGACCCGAAAGAUGGUGAACUAUGCCUGAAUAGGGCGAAGCCAGAGGAAACUCUGGUGGAGGCUCGUAGCGAUUCUGA
This 639-nucleotide ribosomal RNA is filed under the name Clavulina sp. A32. RNAcentral describes it as "eukaryotic LSU rRNA". It matches the Rfam family "Eukaryotic large subunit ribosomal RNA", at positions 234 to 889 of the family's 3401-position model. Lineage: Eukaryota; Fungi; Basidiomycota; Agaricomycetes; Cantharellales; Hydnaceae. The record is from RNAcentral.